This 433-nucleotide ribosomal RNA is filed under the name uncultured bacterium. RNAcentral's name for it is "bacterial SSU rRNA". It matches the Rfam family "Bacterial small subunit ribosomal RNA", at positions 197 to 650 of the family's 1533-position model. The record is from RNAcentral.
GGGGUCAAAGAUUUAUCGGUACAGGAUGGACUCGCGUCCCAUUAGCUAGUUGGCGGGAUAACAGCCCACCAAGGCGACGAUGGGUAGCCGACCUGAGAGGGUGAUCGGCCACACUGGGACUGAGACACGGCCCAGACUCCUACGGGAGGCAGCAGUGGGGAAUAUUGGGCAAUGGGCGCAAGCCUGACCCAGCAACGCCGCGUGAAGGAAGAAGGUCUUCGGAUUGUAACCUUUUGUCGCCGGGAACGAUAAUGACGGUACCCGGUAAGAAAGCCCCGGCUAACUACGUGCCAGCAGCCGCGGUAAUACGUAGGGGGCGAGCGUUGUCCGGAAUUACUGGGCGUAAAGGGCGCGUAGGCGGCCGGAUAAGUUAGAUGUGAAAUCCCCGGGCUCAACCUGGGUGUUGCAUUUAAAACUGUCUGGCUUGAGUGCA